Molecule: long non-coding RNA, 225 nt
Organism: Mus caroli (Ryukyu mouse)
Lineage: Eukaryota; Metazoa; Chordata; Mammalia; Rodentia; Muridae
Source: RefSeq, a predicted model, not a curated record
GGACACUCUGCCUACCCAAGUGCACGGCAAGGUCACAUGGCAAGGGAAAAGUGGAAAACUACUGGAGGAUCCAAUAGACCUGGAGUCCAAAAAUGCAUCUGCCGGACUAAUGAGAAGGUCUGUUGAGCCAGUUGUCCCGGAAACUCGAGCCUCUCUGUCCCCUUUCCCUUCCCUCUAUCCAUCCCUUCUCUUUCUUCUCCAGGACUCAUUGGAGCGACUGUAUUG